AGAGUUUGAUCCUGGCUCAGGAUGAACGCUAAGGCUUAACACAUGCAAGUCGACGGCAGCACGAGAGCUUGCUCUUGGUGGCGAGUGGCGAACGGGUGAGUAAUAUAUCGGAACGUAUCCAAUAAUGGGGGAUAACUAAUCGAAAGGUUAGCUAAUACCGCAUACGCCCUACGGGGGAAAGCAGGGGAUCUUCGGACCUUGCGUUAAUGGAGCGGCUGAUAUCUGAUUAGCUAGUAGGUGAGGUAAAGGCUCACCUAGGCUUCGAUCAGUAGCUGGUCUGAGAGGACGACCAGCCACACUGGAACUGAGACACGGUCCAGACUCCUACGGGAGGCAGCAGUGGGGAAUUUUGGACAAUGGGCGCAAGCCUGAUCCAGCCAUUCCGCGUGAGUGAAGAAGGCCUUCGGGUUGUAAAGCUCUUUCGCAAGGGAAGAAACGAUACCGACGAAUAAUCGGUGUUAAUGACGGUACCUUGAUAAGAAGCACCGGCUAACUACGUGCCAGCAGCCGCGGUAAUACGUAGGGUGCGAGCGUUAAUCGGAAUUACUGGGCGUAAAGCGUGCGCAGGCGGUUUUGUAAGUCAGAUGUGAAAUCCCCGGGCUCAACCUGGGAACUGCGUUUGAAACUACAAGGCUAGAGUAUGGUAGAGGGGGGUAGAAUUCCACGUGUAGCAGUGAAAUGCGUAGAGAUGUGGAGGAAUACCAAUGGCGAAGGCAGCCCCCUGGACUAAUACUGACGCUCAUGCACGAAAGCGUGGGGAGCAAACAGGAUUAGAUACCCUGGUAGUCCACGCCCUAAACGAUGUCUACUAGUUGUUGGGAGAGUAAAAUCUCUUAGUAACGCAGCUAACGCGUGAAGUAGACCGCCUGGGGAGUACGGUCGCAAGAUUAAAACUCAAAGGAAUUGACGGGGGCCCGCACAAGCGGUGGAUUAUGUGGAUUAAUUCGAUGCAACGCGAAAA
RNAcentral lists this ribosomal RNA (961 nucleotides) under uncultured beta proteobacterium. RNAcentral's name for it is "bacterial SSU rRNA". It matches the Rfam family "Bacterial small subunit ribosomal RNA", at positions 8 to 967 of the family's 1533-position model. The record is from RNAcentral. Lineage: Bacteria; Pseudomonadati; Pseudomonadota; Betaproteobacteria.